UAAAAAUGUAUCUCACUGGGGGAUUGUUUAGGGCUCUUUGCCACUAAAAAUCUUGAAACCUCCUGGUAUAGAAAAUCUGGGAAAUUCAUAAGCAAAUAAACAUGUAAUUUUUAUAGUUUAACACUGUGUGUUGCUAAUAAUUGACUGUGCAAAAACACAUUAUGGUUGUCCCAAACCAUCAGUGUAACUGCUCAUAUUUCAUAUUCAUAACUUGCAUUUGAAAGCACAUCUGUUGCCAUUUUUCAAAUAAAUUACUUUUUUUCAUGGUGACACAAAGAAUUGUGGGAUAUCUUUAGCAACAAACGCUAUUCCUCAUGCCUCUUUCACAUUUCUGUGAAAGAAGGUUUCAUUCGAAGGGUGCAUUCACUUUUUUUAAAUGAGACAGAUGAAUACCUGAUAUGAUUUGAAUACCUGCUGUCUUCAAUCAUCAUGUCUUUAAUAAUCAGUGUUAAUUUAUAUUUUAUCCAUUUAGCAUCAAGACAGAAUUUGGAACAAAGGAGUCUCCAAAUGUGAUGUUGUUCAAUUUUGGCUAUGCAGUCUCAUUUGAAAUGUUAUCUCUGACCACGGCCUGUAAGAUGGAUCUCCACAGGUUUCCCUUCGACACCCAAAGCUGCAAUAUAACACUUCAGUCUACAUCAUAUUCAAGUACAUCUGAAACAAACACAAGAUAACAUGGUUUAUUCUUCUAAACUAUUUGAAUUUAAUAUUAAAUAACACAAUUUUAAUGUCUGUUACCACACAUCAUGACAUUGCAUUGGAUUUACUAACUAAUAAAUUGAACAUCACCUCUGAGUCGAAGAAAUUUCAGGCCCAGGGAGAGUGGGAGCUCCUCGAAAUAAACUACACUAAAGCUACCCUGGCUAAGUGGAUUGAAGUGGAUCAGCUGAUAUAUCAGAUCACCAUAAAAAGAAGACCUAAACUGUCAUAAUCAUUAUAGUACCGGUAUUUUUCUUCCUUUUACUGGAUGUGGCCUCCUUCAUUGACACAAAAGAAGAAGACAAGCUGAACUUUAAAGUGACUUUACUCCUGUCUAUUUCUGUGAUGCUGCUGAUUCUUAACGACACGCUGCCCUCUACAGCUGAAAAUCUUCCUCUGAUUGGGGUUUACUGCUGUGCAAUUUUUUGUCUCAUUGGCAUCAGCAUUGUGGAGACCAUCUUUGUGAAUUUUCUGAAGACUAAAGCAGCUGAGAAGAGAUCAGUGGAAACAACAGCUGCUGUUACUGUUACUGGCCGAGAUGACCUGGCGAGUACUCCAGACUCAGUUAAAGAUCAGAAUGAUAAGCAUUCUUGUACCAUCGACCUUCUGAAGCAGAUACUCACUGAGGUUCAGGCUGCAACUCAACAAAACCAACGAAAGAAAACAUCUCUGUGCUGGACCAGAGUGGCAAGAAUCAUAGAUGUGACCUUCUUGGUUCUUUACAUAAUCACCAUUAUUGUGUUUCUGUCUGUGCUUGGGAAGUUUUGGCUUCCAUAGAGAAGUCUUAUACAUGAGACACACAAUACUAUCUUUUAUUCAGAAUUUAAAUAUAGUUUACAUAGAGUUUAACACAAGAAUACACAGCAAAACACAAAGAUGCAGACAGAAAACACGUAUAUUAUGUAUGUAUGUGUGUAUGUAUGUAUGGUUUGUUUGUUUUUUUUCACUUGAGCACCUGCCCCUCAAAAUAGCUAUAUGCAGGUGAUAAUUAAAUAAAUAAUAUAAUUAUUUGUAAAAAGGUAAAACUGCAUACUGUUGAUCAUCUUUUAAAUAAUUGCACUGUUUAACACUACAACUGUUAUACCACACAGCAAAAUCCCCAGUGUUAAAUUAACUUCCCUCAGUGUACAUGUGUCCACACUGAAGCAAAAAAUAACUGAAACAGUGUUGAAGUUAAUGGAAUAAUUAAAGGGACAGUUCACCCAAAAAAAACGAAAUGAUCCCAUGAUUUACUCACCCUCAAGCCAUCCUAUGUCUAUAUGGCUAUCUUCUUUCAGACAAACACAAUCUGAGUUAUAUAUUAAAAUAUCCUGGCUCUUCCAAGCUUAAUAAUAGUAGUGAAUGGCGCUCCUGAUUUUUUCUGAGAAUACUCUUUUGGUGCAAGUUGAUUUGCGUUGGCUGUCUGCCGGAAGCUAAUUAUUUUAGUUUAUAAAGAUUUAAAUAUGAAUAUUUUUCUUACAAAAGCCCAUUGUCACAGAUCCCUUGUUCUCCGAACUCCAUUUCCCAUGAUCCUCCUGUUCUCCACACCUGCACUCACUUCCCUCGUCAUCUCCCCAUUAUCACUCAUCAUCAUCACCUGGACUUCCUUGUUAGCACUCCCUAUAUUUAUAGACUCACUCCCUUCACUCCUUGUCUGUUCUAAAUGUUAUAUUGAAUGUGUUGGUUGUUUGUUAUGCUCCUGCUUUCAUUAAAUACCCUUUGAUUGUGGAUGUCCGUAUACGUCUCGUCUCUACAACCCAGCACCCGUAACAGAAGAACAGACCAAAACUGCUGUAUAUCCACAAAAGAAGAUUGGGAUUUUCCUGACUCCCUUGCACCCCGAAUCUCUCCGGGUGGAGGAAAAACUUUGCCGUGUGCAGCAGGGUGGCAGGCCGUUGGAGAGGUAUAUAUCCUUUUAAAUGGUUCUAAUAUUGAAGUGGAUAAAAUUCAAAAGAACCAGAGUCCUUGUCCAGCCCCAUCAGCAGCUUAUCGGGCAUCACCAGCUCACCUCACCCCAGAACCCUGCACAUACCGCCUCAACGGUCCUGCCUACUCCUGGCUGCCAGCUCCAGCCGCCGCCGCCGAGCCCUCAGCUCCAGCCGCCGCCGCCGAGCCUUCAGCUCAAGCCACCGCCGCUGAGCAAACCUCUCC
Molecule: long non-coding RNA, 2826 nt
Organism: Megalobrama amblycephala (Wuchang bream)
Lineage: Eukaryota; Metazoa; Chordata; Actinopteri; Cypriniformes; Xenocyprididae
Exons: 4
Source: RefSeq, a predicted model, not a curated record